This 649-nucleotide ribosomal RNA is filed under the name uncultured bacterium. RNAcentral's name for it is "bacterial SSU rRNA". It matches the Rfam family "Bacterial small subunit ribosomal RNA", at positions 43 to 683 of the family's 1533-position model. The record is from RNAcentral.
CAGGCCUAACACAUGCAAGUCGAGGGUAAAAAGAGUAGCUUGCUACUUUGCUGACGAGCGGCGGACGGGUGAGUAAUGCUUGGGAAUAUGCCUUAUGGUGGGGGACAACAGUUGGAAACGACUGCUAAUACCGCAUGAUGUCUACGGACCAAAGUGGGGGACCUUCGGGCCUCACGCCAUAAGAUUAGCCCAAGUGGGAUUAGCUAGUUGGUGAGGUAAUGGCUCACCAAGGCGACGAUCCCUAGCUGGUUUGAGAGGAUGAUCAGCCACACUGGGACUGAGACACGGCCCAGACUCCUACGGGAGGCAGCAGUGGGGAAUAUUGCACAAUGGGCGCAAGCCUGAUGCAGCCAUGCCGCGUGUGUGAAGAAGGCCUUCGGGUUGUAAAGCACUUUCAGUAAGGAGGAAAGGUUAAGUGUUAAUAGCGCUUAGCUGUGACGUUACUUACAGAAGAAGCACCGGCUAACUCCGUGCCAGCAGCCGCGGUAAUACGGAGGGUGCGAGCGUUAAUCGGAAUUACUGGGCGUAAAGCGUACGCAGGCGGUUUGUUAAGCGAGAUGUGAAAGCCCCGGGCUCAACCUGGGAACUGCAUUUCGAACUGGCAAACUAGAGUGUGAUAGAGGGUGGUAGAAUUUCAGGUGUAGCGGUG